Molecule: transfer RNA, 77 nt
Filed under: Planctomycetota bacterium
Lineage: Bacteria; Pseudomonadati; Planctomycetota
Description: Planctomycetes bacterium (soil metagenome) tRNA-Arg
Rfam family: tRNA
About the family: Transfer RNA (tRNA) molecules are approximately 80 nucleotides in length.
Source: RNAcentral
GACCCCGUAGCUCAGAUGGAUAGAGCGGUAGUUUCCUAAACUGCAGGUCGCGUGUUCGAGUCACGCCGGGGUCGCCA